UCAGUUCAAUUUCAAUAUUUACAUGUAGAUUAUUCUAAUGAAUUUGUCAAAUGUCAGAUGCAAUAUCUUUUUAAAUGUGGUAGGAAUAACAAUGAGACAACUCUCCAUGAAGUGUUGAACACAGUGUAGUCAAAAUAAGCAGUUAUAGGUUAUAAUACAGCCUUCAUAACAAAGGCUUGAGUCACAUUGGACAGUAUCCUACUAAGGGCACCAAAACACUGUUAUAAAAAAAACAUUAAAUAUAA
RNAcentral lists this long non-coding RNA (245 nucleotides) under Mytilus galloprovincialis (Mediterranean mussel). The record is from RNAcentral. Lineage: Eukaryota; Metazoa; Mollusca; Bivalvia; Mytilida; Mytilidae.